CUCGGCCUGAACCACUGAUGGAGCACCUGGGGAAAGGACCGGGUCAGCCCUGGGAGCACAGGUGGAGGCAAUUUACCUGUAUGACAGGAAGGGGCGGAGCCUGGCCCCUCUUAGACCUCAUUUGAGGGCUGACCGCAACUGCGGCAGGGUCUCUUUCUGGAAGUUCUUCUUUUGUGGAGUUUUUCUGUAAGCCUGGAUCUUCAGGGAUGGGUGCGUAGCGGAGGCUCUUGUGGCGCCGCGCCGCAGCUGGCAGGAGGUGAGACCCGGGUGGUGCCGGCAGCAGAGGACUGCUCACAAACAGUGGCCGAGGUGUGACCAAGAGCACUGCCCGGCAGAGCCCCUCUGCCUGCAGGGACCGACGGGCAGUGCUGCUACAGUGGCACAUCCUGGGGUGGG
This 396-nucleotide long non-coding RNA is filed under the name Gallus gallus (chicken). RNAcentral's name for it is "lncRNA (ENSGALG00010029868.1)". Lineage: Eukaryota; Metazoa; Chordata; Aves; Galliformes; Phasianidae. The record is from RNAcentral.